This 2932-nucleotide ribosomal RNA is filed under the name Escherichia coli. Its description in RNAcentral is "23S ribosomal RNA". It matches the Rfam family "Bacterial large subunit ribosomal RNA". Lineage: Bacteria; Pseudomonadati; Pseudomonadota; Gammaproteobacteria; Enterobacterales; Enterobacteriaceae. The record is from RNAcentral.
GGGUUGUGAGGUUAAGCGACUAAGCGUACACGGUGGAUGCCCUGGCAGUCAGAGGCGAUGAAGGACGUGCUAAUCUGCGAUAAGCGUCGGUAAGGUGAUAUGAACCGUUAUAACCGGCGAUUUCCGAAUGGGGAAACCCAGUGUGAUUCGUCACACUAUCAUUAACUGAAUCCAUAGGUUAAUGAGGCGAACCGGGGGAACUGAAACAUCUAAGUACCCCGAGGAAAAGAAAUCAACCGAGAUUCCCCCAGUAGCGGCGAGCGAACGGGGAGCAGCCCAGAGCCUGAAUCAGUGUGUGUGUUAGUGGAAGCGUCUGGAAAGGCGUGCGAUACAGGGUGACAGCCCCGUACACAAAAAUGCACAUGCUGUGAGCUCGAUGAGUAGGGCGGGACACGUGGUAUCCUGUCUGAAUAUGGGGGGACCAUCCUCCAAGGCUAAAUACUCCUGACUGACCGAUAGUGAACCAGUACCGUGAGGGAAAGGCGAAAAGAACCCCGGCGAGGGGAGUGAAAAAGAACCUGAAACCGUGUACGUACAAGCAGUGGGAGCACAGAGCAAUCUGUGUGACUGCGUACCUUUUGUAUAAUGGGUCAGCGACUUAUAUUCUGUAGCAAGGUUAACCGAAUAGGGGAGCCGAAGGGAAACCGAGUCUUAACUGGGCGUUAAGUUGCAGGGUAUAGACCCGAAACCCGGUGAUCUAGCCAUGGGCAGGUUGAAGGUUGGGUAACACUAACUGGAGGACCGAACCGACUAAUGUUGAAAAAUUAGCGGAUGACUUGUGGCUGGGGGUGAAAGGCCAAUCAAACCGGGAGAUAGCUGGUUCUCCCCGAAAGCUAUUUAGGUAGCGCCUCGUGAAUUCAUCUCCGGGGGUAGAGCACUGUUUCGGCAAGGGGGUCAUCCCGACUUACCAACCCGAUGCAAACUGCGAAUACCGGAGAAUGUUAUCACGGGAGACACACGGCGGGUGCUAACGUCCGUCGUGAAGAGGGAAACAACCCAGACCGCCAGCUAAGGUCCCAAAGUCAUGGUUAAGUGGGAAACGAUGUGGGAAGGCCCAGACAGCCAGGAUGUUGGCUUAGAAGCAGCCAUCAUUUAAAGAAAGCGUAAUAGCUCACUGGUCGAGUCGGCCUGCGCGGAAGAUGUAACGGGGCUAAACCAUGCACCGAAGCUGCGGCAGCGACACUAUGUGUUGUUGGGUAGGGGAGCGUUCUGUAAGCCUGUGAAGGUGUACUGUGAGGUAUGCUGGAGGUAUCAGAAGUGCGAAUGCUGACAUAAGUAACGAUAAAGCGGGUGAAAAGCCCGCUCGCCGGAAGACCAAGGGUUCCUGUCCAACGUUAAUCGGGGCAGGGUGAGUCGACCCCUAAGGCGAGGCCGAAAGGCGUAGUCGAUGGGAAACAGGUUAAUAUUCCUGUACUUGGUGUUACUGCGAAGGGGGGACGGAGAAGGCUAUGUUGGCCGGGCGACGGUUGUCCCGGUUUAAGCGUGUAGGCUGGUUUUCCAGGCAAAUCCGGAAAAUCAAGGCUGAGGCGUGAUGACGAGGCACUACGGUGCUGAAGCAACAAAUGCCCUGCUUCCAGGAAAAGCCUCUAAGCAUCAGGUAACAUCAAAUCGUACCCCAAACCGACACAGGUGGUCAGGUAGAGAAUACCAAGGCGCUUGAGAGAACUCGGGUGAAGGAACUAGGCAAAAUGGUGCCGUAACUUCGGGAGAAGGCACGCUGAUAUGUAGGUGAAGUCCCUCGCGGAUGGAGCUGAAAUCAGUCGAAGAUACCAGCUGGCUGCAACUGUUUAUUAAAAACACAGCACUGUGCAAACACGAAAGUGGACGUAUACGGUGUGACGCCUGCCCGGUGCCGGAAGGUUAAUUGAUGGGGUCAGCGCAAGCGAAGCUCUUGAUCGAAGCCCCGGUAAACGGCGGCCGUAACUAUAACGGUCCUAAGGUAGCGAAAUUCCUUGUCGGGUAAGUUCCGACCUGCACGAAUGGCGUAAUGAUGGCCAGGCUGUCUCCACCCGAGACUCAGUGAAAUUGAACUCGCUGUGAAGAUGCAGUGUACCCGCGGCAAGACGGAAAGACCCCGUGAACCUUUACUAUAGCUUGACACUGAACAUUGAGCCUUGAUGUGUAGGAUAGGUGGGAGGCUUUGAAGUGUGGACGCCAGUCUGCAUGGAGCCGACCUUGAAAUACCACCCUUUAAUGUUUGAUGUUCUAACGUUGACCCGUGAUCCGGGUUGCGGACAGUGUCUGGUGGGUAGUUUGACUGGGGCGGUCUCCUCCUAAAGAGUAACGGAGGAGCACGAAGGUUGGCUAAUCCUGGUCGGACAUCAGGAGGUUAGUGCAAUGGCAUAAGCCAGCUUGACUGCGAGCGUGACGGCGCGAGCAGGUGCGAAAGCAGGUCAUAGUGAUCCGGUGGUUCUGAAUGGAAGGGCCAUCGCUCAACGGAUAAAAGGUACUCCGGGGAUAACAGGCUGAUACCGCCCAAGAGUUCAUAUCGACGGCGGUGUUUGGCACCUCGAUGUCGGCUCAUCACAUCCUGGGGCUGAAGUAGGUCCCAAGGGUAUGGCUGUUCGCCAUUUAAAGUGGUACGCGAGCUGGGUUUAGAACGUCGUGAGACAGUUCGGUCCCUAUCUGCCGUGGGCGCUGGAGAACUGAGGGGGGCUGCUCCUAGUACGAGAGGACCGGAGUGGACGCAUCACUGGUGUUCGGGUUGUCAUGCCAAUGGCACUGCCCGGUAGCUAAAUGCGGAAGAGAUAAGUGCUGAAAGCAUCUAAGCACGAAACUUGCCCCGAGAUGAGUUCUCCCUGACUCCUUGAGAGUCCUGAAGGAACGUUGAAGACGACGACGUUGAUAGGCCGGGUGUGUAAGCGCAGCGAUGCGUUGAGCUAACCGGUACUAAUGAACCGUGAGGCUUAACCUUACAACGCCGAAGGUGUUU